GAUUGCCGAGAGAGGAAGUUCUAAUGUGCUUCGCUAUAUCUAUUUGUUUAUGGUGAUUAUGUCGUUCUGCAAUCAUAAUGAGGCUACUAUGCCGACGUCUCAGUGUUUUCUUUAAGCAUGGAGGCAGCAAUAUACCCUCCCUCCAACAGCUAGCCGUGAUACAUAAGACGUGCGUGAAUAAUUCCCAACAAAUUAUUAAUCAUGGACUAUAAGAAAAGAAGUGCACGCCCUACUCCAUUUUCAUCUCGCUAUCGCCAUUCGCCUCAAGGUUCUCCUUCUCAAAGGUACCAAACUUCACAACUUCCACUUCCAGCGUUUCCGCAUCAACGAGCACGAUCUCGCCCGUCUGGCUGAACUUCGGAAGCGCUAUUACGCGCACGCGGGUGCCUUGCUCCUCGCCAUUAUCUUCUGAAGAUAAGGUAGUGGAAGCUUCGACAAUUCCCGUUCGGAAACUUGGUUGGUUCCCUGCAAAGAAAACGUGCGGACAGGAUUGGAGAGUAAAUGGGUCGUGAGUUUGAUAAGGGUAGCACCCUGAACAAAGAAAAAGAAGGUUAAUGGGGGCAUCUUGUAGGGGAUACAAAGCAAAACGUCGAGGAUAACGGGGGGCGGGGAGAAAGAGAACAAAACAACAAAAAAAAAAAAAAAAAAACUUACAUAACGUAUCCGGAGC
RNAcentral lists this small RNA (670 nucleotides) under Histoplasma capsulatum. Its description in RNAcentral is "hypothetical RNA". Lineage: Eukaryota; Fungi; Ascomycota; Eurotiomycetes; Onygenales; Ajellomycetaceae. RNAcentral also lists the same sequence under 1 other name. The record is from RNAcentral.